CCGUACAGCAAUCCUCUCUCUCCCCAAAACCCAAGCUCCUCUCCCCUCCCCAGAUCCCUCUUUCCUCUCCUGCUCACCCCUUCACGCCGACGCCUUCAGCCGUCGAGCUCGUCGUCGAGCUCCCCAAACCCUCCUCCCUCUCCCUCCGACCAACUACGACUCCGACUCCGACUCCGACCUCCUCCGCUGCUCCCUCUCAUAUCGCCGCCAGCUCGCCGCCAGUCUUCACCCGCGUCGGAGCCAAGCCCGCGAGCCCCGUCGCCGCCAGUCUUCACCCUCGUCGGAUCCAAGCCCAGAUCGAGAUAAAAGAUGAAGAACUUUUCGGAAGAGUUCAGUGGAGAAGAAGAUGAGGGUUUAGCACAAAGAAGAUGUUAUUGUGGGUUAAUUUGUAGAAUAUCGAUGUGCAAGCAAGGACGCAAUAAGGGCUUAGAAUUUUAUGGAUGCCCGAGAUACAAAGAACAUCACAAAAAGGUUGGAAAGGCUAGAAAAAAGUUAUGAGGUUUUGAAUAAAAUGCUGAAUGAAGUAAUUUUAUAUUUAAAAUUUAUAAGUAUCGUUGUACUGAUAUUGUUGCUCUAUGUUAUAGUCAAAUGACUGAGCAAUAUAUUAAUGAAUGACUAUUGUAUCCAAAUAUCCUAUUGUAAAUGAAUGUGAGAACUAGUUAUGUUUAUGUGAAAAUGGUUCAGUUGUUAUGAUUAUGUGGUUGAUAUUCGUUGUUA
Long non-coding RNA from Asparagus officinalis (garden asparagus), 717 nucleotides. RefSeq lists it as uncharacterized. The transcript is spliced from 2 exons. Lineage: Eukaryota; Viridiplantae; Streptophyta; Magnoliopsida; Asparagales; Asparagaceae. The record is from RefSeq and is a predicted model, not a curated record.